GAAAACCUGAGAUUAUAAGUCAAUUUAGUUUUUUUUAUACAUAGUUAUACUCCUCCUAAGUACAUGUUAUGUAUAGAUAUAUUAUAAAAACUAUGUAUCUAGAAAAGACAAAGCAACUUAUAAUUUAGAAGAGAGAGUAGGUAGAAAAACUAAAAACUACCUGCACCGUUUGAACAGAGGAAGUAAUAAGAUUCUUGUGACCAACCAACGAACUGACUGAACUCGGUAGCAUGUGAACCGACUACCUAGGAGUCUAGGACACGACGACACGCCGAUUGCCGGGUCAUGCGGUCACGUACGGGGCAUGCUCCAUUCAGACUCCCACACAUAACGAUUGCAUGGAUCCCGCCGGCUUGCUGAUUGUGCUUGCUUCGCGUGUUGACCCUGCAGACUGCACACAACUCAACUCAUCAGCAGCUAGCAACGUACAGUACUCCAGUUUCACAUGUAUAGUCACAUCGAUCGUUGUCCCACGCCCUACGUACGUACGUACGUACCAAGGUUGAGAAAUUAACAAACCAUCCAGGCAAUCGUACGUCCUGGCCUGGAAUUGGAGACAAGAGGGCUUUGCCUUUUGCGAGCGCUCUCGAUCGGUCUCGGACUCUCGGUGUGCCAGUUUGGGCGAACACGCUCGCUUAACGGUUUCCCCUUGCUUGCCUUGCCCAUAGACCUGCAGGCACCAGGCAGGUUACUUGGCUUGCAUUGCAUUGCAUCCCCACAGAUCGACACCCCCGCCCACGCCUGUUACUGUGCGAGGUGCGAGCUAGCCCAGGCCUGGUGCCCUGGUAGCUGCACUUUAAAAAAAAAAAUUUAAAAAAAAAGCCCAGAUGAUGAGACAUAGGAUCCAGUGAGCUCGAAUUCAUGCAUGUUUGCGCUGUGUCUGUCCAUCAGGCACGGGCCCGGCUCCUGGGUGUUGAACUGUUGAUGAGGUCCACGAGAGCAGCCGGUCUGGUUGCCUACGUUCGCAACCGAGACUCUUGAUACAUAUAUAUGUGGUCAGCUCUUGCCGAUCGUUAUUAACAGUUUUUUUUUACUGAAAAUCAACAUCUUCGUGCUGUCGUCUCGUUCCGUUCCGUUCCGUUCAAUGAAGUAUAUCGAACCAAAAGCACGACCUGAUCGUGACAUGCCACACGGCAUUUUUCGCAAACACGACACGGGAUCGAACGAGCAGGGAUCCAGGACAAAAUGCAGCACCCAACCACGUCCCAUGCUGCUCCAACAUUCCCCUCGUGCCCGGAACUGUAGCCUUUACAAAAACGCAACGGAUCGCCGACGCUCCAACAGUUAGGCUGUCCAAGUCGUAGAGAGGUUCUUGCCGCCUGGGGGCAAAUUAUACUGCCGAGGGCAAAAAAAUCAUGUGCGCUACGCAAGUGUAUGCACUGCAGCCACAGUUACUUUCACCCUACCUUCUGUAAAAACAGUAUCAUUCUUACUACCGAAAAGUCAAAUAUUUUUAAUUUUGAUCAAAUAUAUAAAAGAAAAUAUUGAUACUUAUGAUGUAUAAUUAGUAUUAUUAAAUAAAUCACUAAUAAACACAUUUAGAGCUAUAAACUUUGCUAAUAAUUUUUAAACCUAGUCAAACUUUAAAAGCAUAUGUAUGAGCGUUAUACUCCUCCAGUUC
RNAcentral lists this long non-coding RNA (1621 nucleotides) under Sorghum bicolor (sorghum). Its description in RNAcentral is "long non-coding RNA (SBIC_LNC001725)". Lineage: Eukaryota; Viridiplantae; Streptophyta; Magnoliopsida; Poales; Poaceae. The record is from RNAcentral.